This 6307-nucleotide long non-coding RNA is filed under the name Capsicum annuum. RNAcentral describes it as "long non-coding RNA (CANN_LNC019213)". The record is from RNAcentral. Lineage: Eukaryota; Viridiplantae; Streptophyta; Magnoliopsida; Solanales; Solanaceae.
UUUUUUUUUUUUUGCUAUUAUCUUAUUUCUUUUAGUAUGUUGUCUUUUUUUAUUUUGUAUAAUUCUCUUUAUAAUGAAGUUUAAGAUAUUUAUAUAUGAUUUCAAUUUCAAAUUUUGAAAAUCUAGCUAGCUAAAUACAAAUGGUUGUAAUUAGUGACAAAACAUUUUAUCCAUAAAAGCUUUACUUUUACUUUUUAAGACGAUCACAUAUUCAUCACCAAAUUAGAACAUUUGGUGACAAGAGUAAAUUUUGUCCCUAAAUAGCCCACUUAUUACCUACAAAUCAACUUUAUAUUUUGUGAUAAUAGCUAUCGUCACUAAUUAUGACAUAUUCUAGUGAAAAAAUUAUUUCGUAGGUAAAAAAAGUAUUGUUAGUGCCGACUUGAUCGCUUUCAGCUACAAAGUGAUAAGAAAGUAAUGUUGUCACUAAUUUAUCUAUUUAGAGACAAAUAGAGAAUGUGUAUGUAAAAGAUAGUAUUAAGUGACAAAAUAAUUUUUGUUCCACGAUGAAAUACAUAGAAGAUUAGAGACAAAUUAAUUCAUCACUAAUUCAAAUAAAUAGUUAGCGACACAUCAUUCUCGUCAGCAUUAUAACUUCUUUAGUGACAAAAAAAAUAAUAUUAACUACAAAAAAUAUAAUUUCUAUGACGAACAAGAUCGUCAUAAAAAAUAUGCAUUUGGGGACAACAAAUAUUUUUGUAGUUAAUGCAAAAUUAUUUAGUGACGAAGCACUAAGUCAUCUCAAUAUUCAUUCAUCGACCCAUGAUUUAGAGACGAACAAGUGACGAUUAUAUUUUCUUUACGCAAGAUUUUUUGUGACAAAAUAUAAUUUUUUCAGGAUAAAAUAUAAUUUUUUCAUGACAAAAUAUUUUGUCACUGAUAGUCGAAUUUGUUGUAGUGAUGGAACAUAGGCCUAUGAAACAUAAGCUGGGAUAGAAUUACUAGGCCUAGGCAACACAACUGCCCAACUCAAGCUUAGCCUCGCUCCGUAAAUACUCGCAUGGGUACAUAUAACAACUCCAGCCAAAGUGUGAGUUGAACUACAUGCUCUCACCAUGUUCAAGCCUAACUCAAAAUUACAAGGUAUAACACAUACCACCAUUUUACUAGUAUAAACCAUGAAUUCGAUACCCCAUGUGUUUUCACAACUUCUCAUCUCAAGAUAAAUUCUUCUUACCAUUUCAACAACUAAAUUCAACCUCUUACUAAGAAUUCACUAACGCACAAUGCACCCAUCCACUUAUAUACCAACAUGACAUUGAAGACUAAUAACCACACAUGAAAUUUUAGGCAAACAACCCAUUGACACCUAAUUUUUUGCCCUCCAUAAUUAUGUUUAAUCUCGAGUUUCUUUGAUUUUCAAAUAAAAUUAUAACAAUUAUUUUUUCAAAUAUAUACAUUUUAAAAUAUUUAUUUGGGAUAAAUUUAUCAUUUAACUGAUAAUUAUAUAUUUUUGUAUUUAUAUAUACAAGAUUGUAUAAAUGAUGUCAUUUAAAUGAACAUUUUCAUCAAAAUUGAACUUUAAAUUAAGGAUUAUUAGAAAAAUAAAUUUAAAUAAUUAAAAUCCUAAUUCAAAUAUAAUUUAUUAUUGAAAAUAAUUUAUUUAUAAAAUAUUUAGUUGAUUUUUUUAAAUCAAGAAGCUUGAGAUUAAACAAGGUGUUAAUUUGUAUCGAAUUUCAAUUCAAUUUAACCAAUCUAUUAAAUUUGAUCAUAAUUGAAACUAAAUUAGCCACAAUUGCAAUGCAAUUGGCCAAUUAACUUUUAAUUUGGUCAAAAUUUAAAUAGAAUAGAUUAGAUCAUAAUUGAAAUUAUUUUUAUAACCUUUAAUCUAACGAAAUUAUUUUUUAUAAAUAAUUUCGAAGACUACCAAUUUUCUAAUUUAAUUAGGGUUAUUGUAACCCAAUUAAAUUUAAUUAGGGUUAUUUUAACCCCAAUUAAAUUUAAUUGGGAUAAUUAAAUAACCCCAAUUAAAACCUAAUUUUUAACCCAAAAUCAGCCCCAACAUUAAACAUUUUCAUCCAGGCCCAAAUCAGUGCCCCCCGACCACUCCAAUAACAACCCAAUUUAGCAUCAGCAGCCACCAUUCAUUCUUCCUGUCCAACAGAUCAACUCGACCCGUCGGCCCAUAUUUCUUUCUUCUUUACCCAGCAACGACAACAUAUGGCUUCAAUAACAGCUGACACUAACGAUUACACCCUCAACAAACCCAACAACAAUGAAAAUCGACCAACAAUUCCAAAUCGCCGACCCGUUCGCAACCCGGAUCAGCGACUCAAACCCGGUGAAUAACAGCCCAAUGUACAAGCAACAAGAUUCCAUCCAAAUCUUUCAACGACAACAGACAACAACACCAAUAUCGAACAUCAACAACCAUACGACAACAACGAUGAACGGGUCAGCCAUUGCCGACCCGACCUAGUGACCUUUGUAACAAUCCGAACCAGCUAACCCAAACUCAACCGCGAUGUCAACCUGGUAACCCGACCCGUAUCCACCAUGGUUUCAAAGAAAAUUCUAAAAGCUGGAUAACUCAGCUACCAACGUUCAAAAUUUCAAUCUGUACUGAAUGGUAUAAUUUCCAGCUCAACCAUCUUAUCCCUUUUUCAAAAUUUGAAUUCCCCUAUUUGAAUUUCAAAAAUAAACCCCCAUUUUCCCUUCUAUAUAAAGCCGUUUUUGGGAAUCAGAAAAGGGGGUGGAAAAAUUUCUCUUGGGAGGUGAGAAACAAAAAACAAGAGAGAAAAUCUCAAACAAAAAAAGGGGGACCUUCGAGCAAAAGAAACAGAUGAUACAGUCUUUCUUUAGUAGAAAUUUGAGCAAAGUUCUUUUAUUUUUUCUCCGGGAAAUUGGUCAAAAAUUGGAAUUUCUAAACUGAGGACGACAUAUUUUGAUGGCAAUUGAUUCUGAAAACUUCACGUCACAUUUUGCUGCUCCUGAAUAGGUAACAUUCUAUUUUUAUUUAGUUUCGAUUGUAUUCUACUUCAUCUGUUCAUUCUAUAGUCAUAAGUGUUAUUCCAAAAAUCUUGUAUGGUGGGUUGCAUGUUGUAGAGGUCUUAAAGACCAUAGGUUGCUAUUUUAGUGAAAGAAAAUAUUGGUUGUAUUGUUACGUUAGGAUCAAUUCCUGUUCUGAUUGUCUGAUAUGUGGUUUUUGUCGCCUUUAUCUUGAUUUCGUAAUGUCAUCUACUUUUGGCGUUAUUGAUUAAUUUUCGACCUAUUGUCUCAUCUUGUGUACCGUUUGUGGUUUGAAUCGCAGUUUCAUAGUUAAAGAUUAUAUUUUGAUUCUCGCUUGACAGUGUUUAGCCUUAUGUUGCCUUGUUCGUAGUUGUAUUUUUAUAAUCUUGAGUACUGAGAGUUUUUUGCUGUAGACGGCUUUGAAAGCCAUAGGUUGUUGUGAAAAAAUUAUGAAUGAUGUUGUUCUUGAUGUUCUUUCAAGAUUUUUUUAGAAUCAUUGUUCCAGUUUUUUGAUGUGUUUUGUGUGCUGAUUCGUGUGCAUGUUCGUUUAUUUCGAUCAUUGAUCGAUUCCUUGUAUUCCCUUAGCGAUAUAUCUGUUUAUUGACCAAACACAAGCUGAUUUGAGCAUAUUUGUAAUCUACAAAGUGUUUUUUUCUGUUUUGCUGAAGUAUUGGGAAUACUGUAAGCUUUUUGCCGUUUAAACCAAGCUCCCUGUUGAAGCUGUUUGUCCAUUGAUUUUUCUCUAAUUCCUAAUACUGGUAAAAUGUCAAUGGCUCAAGAAGGGAAAUAGUUUCUUCUCAAAAAUUAAAAACUUGAGAAAUGAGACGUAUUCUUGUUAUGAUAUGUUUUCAUCUCUAAAGUCUUCUAAUAUUCGAGUCCCACUGAUGAAUAUUGAUUCUUUGUUAUUUAUGUGUUAUGUUUGAAGAAUCUAGUGUAAAAGAUUUCUUUAGCCUGUCCUGUGCUGAUCAACUGUUGUGGUCAAGAGUCUUUUCUUAUGUCUCAUAGUAGUUUAGGCUCCAAUUGGGUCCCAAGUUCUCUGUGUUUCCUGUGUAAAAUUUUUUUAAUCACAUGAGGAAGACAUAAGGCGCUUGAUUCAUUUCUACUAUCCUUUGGUUUCAUCAACGAGAUAAGUUUUCUUCUUUAGAAUUCCAUUUAUGUUCAAUUUAUUACCCUCCGAUGUCUGUUAAUGACCAGGGAGGCUAAGGCCAGAAUUUUAUCUUGAAAUAUUGUUAUUUUAUUUUAAGAAUUGAUGCAUACGUGAUUAACUUUAAAGUCUUUUUCCUCUCUCUUUCUUUUCAAAAGGGACUUUGGUUAGGGAGUAGUAGUUUGUUUGGAGUGUAACUUCUUGGUUAUCAAGAUUGUUCGUUUCUCUUAUUGCAUUUGUGCCUAAUUUGUUACUAUUUUGCUUUCCUAGCCUAUUUAAACUUGUUAUUUUAAGAUAGAUUGAAUCACUGCCUUUCUGUUGCUCAAUUUGCCUGUGGCACCUCAAUCUAAAAUUGGUAAACCAUGAACUUUUCACUUUGUUUUUUUUAAUUUGUUUCUAUCAUUUCGAGUUUACUGAAUCAUUUGUGGGUUUUUUUCUCUAGUUGUAAUGUAUAUAUAUUUCCUUUUAGCACUAUUAUUAUCAUUGUUAUCAUUAUUUUUAUACGACAGUGCAUUUUCGUAAUAUUAAUACGUUAAUAGCCCAUACUUAGAAUAUGUAUUAAUUCGAUAUCAUUUUUCUUUGUGUGGUAUGUGAAUUUGUUCUCGAGUCCACAAUGGGCUCCCUCCCUUGGCAAUGUCGGUGGGUCAAUGAGGCCCAUCUUCUCAAGUCUGCCUCAAAGAAGGUUCAAAGACCAAUCUCAUGGCGUAUGGAUACGAGAAGUCGGAGGAAGAAAAAUGGGUUAAAGUCCCAUCUUUGAAGCGGCCACGAGACUCAAAUGUCUCAUUUUUAUUUUAUUCAUUUCUUCAUUUGUUGUUGUCUUUUUAUUAUUAUUUAUUUCUUCAUUUCAUUAUUUCGUCAUUUGGGCCUCGAAGUCAAAGUUGUAAAUUUAAUACAGGUGAAGCGGGUUUGGGCCAAAAAGAUUCAAAACAUAGAUUAGGACAGGUGAAAAAUUGGUCAAAAUCCCAAUUAGAUUAUGACAGAUUUCGUUGAUUUGGGCCUAAUGGCCUAAGUUUUUUACUUCCUCCUCCUUUUCUCCUUGUUUAUUUGUUUUUUAAAUUUGUUUAGACUUAGUUAAAAUCCCUACUAAGUCGUCCAAACCUAUUUUAUACAAGUUUUUUUCUAAAGUCAAUCACUUUUCAAAUCAAUCUUUUUAAAGUUAGUCAAAAGAUAUUUUUAAAAAGUCCAGAUAACCGCAAGUUAGCGAAUGUUUUAAGUGUCUUAAACCUUCCUAAAACGUUAAUAGGAAUUGCUUACGCAGAAUCUUUCAACUUUAAAUGAUUUUUUUGUUUUGGAUCGUUUAAAGUAUCUUAUAAUGAUUUCUUAAUUCCUUUUCAAAAUUAAGUGGUGACUCAAAAGUCAAAAUUUUUGCAAAACAGAAAUGGCGGCUCUGCUGGGGAUAUUUAAUUAGCUUCUAACCAAAUGUUUGAUUUCAUCUUUUGAUUAAAUUUUUAAUUGCUUAUGUGUUUAUAUGUUUUGAUUUUGUUGAAUUUUAAUUAUUGCAUCUCAUAGUGUAAUCUCGCAUUGAUUCAUUAAAUUGUUUUGGGGUUUCGUGGAUGUCCUGACUCCUGUUGUUCAACUUCAAAUAAAGUGUUAAAAAUACGAUGGUUUAUUAGCACGUGAUUCAUCUGAUGACUGUUCGUAUUUUUUAAACCCAAGUAGUCCGCUUGGGAACCUGGUUCAAACUCACUCUAGACACCCAGGGUAGAGCUAAAUCAAAACCCUAUUUUAGGCAUAAUCCUAGGACAACCCAAUACCCGAGGGGGUAUUGAGCCCAUUAGAAAACUUGCCCUGCGUUUAUUGACCUCGAUUCAUUUACAGACGAAUCAUAUUUAUGUGUUGAAGAAAUAUAUGUUUAUUUAAUCCAAUUCAUUAUUCUUUGGGGGUCGAAAAAAAGCUUGCUUUGCUUACUUUCGUGUGGAUGUCUCAAUUAUACACCAAUUAAGAGAGGAAUCGAAGCAAGUCAAGCAAAAAUUGCUUGAUUCAUCAAUGGAUGUCACCAAUGAAAAGAAGCGGACAAAGCUAAGAAGGCGAAGGCCGAUAGAUGAAGCAUUCAGGAGUUAGUAUUUCCUAUCCUCUGCAUGAGACAUCAUUCUUAUUCUCAUGUUAUUUUUCUUUCUCUAAAGAUUGUACCCCUUUUGUGCAACUUUUGUAGGCAUUUAUGCCAUUUUUGUAUAUUUAUUAAAUUGGAGGAUAAUGCAUUUGCUUUAAAAAAGG